This is a long non-coding RNA of Lucilia sericata (common green bottle fly), 157 nucleotides long. RefSeq lists it as uncharacterized. The transcript has 3 exons. NCBI's taxonomy places the organism in Eukaryota, Metazoa, Arthropoda, Insecta, Diptera, Calliphoridae. The record is from RefSeq and is a predicted model, not a curated record.
AGAUUAAUACCACAGCUGUUGAACUUUAAUUAACUAUUUGAUAAGCUCCAUAUAGUCUUCAUACUUUUACUUUAACUAAGAUAAUUAUUGCAAUUUGCCACAGGCAUCCAACAGCAGUAUAACAACAAUAGCAGCAAUUCAGCAGCAGCAAUAACGG